UGCUUGGAUCGGAGCUACUCUUCAACCUAGUUGGCGGCCCCAAAGCACCAGGAAGGGGAGGAGCAGGGCUCAGCUCCAGGUCACUCUCCGGGGAGGAAGCGUAGGAGAGGCGAGAAGUCAUCGGGAACAGGAAGUCAUCCGAAAGGGCCUCUUCCGGCUACGCUCACAGAACACACGUCUCAAAUCCAGUCACAUGCAGAAAUCUCGUAUUCCG
Molecule: long non-coding RNA, 214 nt
Filed under: Neodiprion pinetum (white pine sawfly)
Lineage: Eukaryota; Metazoa; Arthropoda; Insecta; Hymenoptera; Diprionidae
Description: uncharacterized LOC124221944
Source: RNAcentral